UACAGAGGGAGCAAGCGUUGUUCGGAAUCACUGGGCGUAAAGGGCGCGUAGGUGGCUUGGUAAGUCUUGUGUGAAAUCCCUCGGCUCAACUGAGGAACUGCACAGGAAACUGCCUGGCUUGAGUUCGGGAGAGGGGCGCGGAAUUCCGGGUGUAGCGGUGAAAUGCGUAGAUAUCCGGAGGAACAUCGGUGGCGAAGGCGGCGCCCUGGACCGAUACUGACGCUGAGGCGCGAAAGCUAGGGGAGCAAACGGG
Molecule: ribosomal RNA, 253 nt
Filed under: uncultured bacterium
Lineage: Bacteria
Description: partial 16S ribosomal RNA
Rfam family: Bacterial small subunit ribosomal RNA
Source: RNAcentral